GUAAAUAUAGUUUAACAAAAACAUUAGAUUGUGAGUCUAAUAAUAGAAUCGCAAAAUUCUUAUUUACC
This is a non-coding RNA of Myotis myotis, 68 nucleotides long. NCBI's taxonomy places the organism in Eukaryota, Metazoa, Chordata, Mammalia, Chiroptera, Vespertilionidae. The record is from the annotation of a RefSeq genome assembly.